This is a non-coding RNA of Populus trichocarpa (black cottonwood), 147 nucleotides long. Lineage: Eukaryota; Viridiplantae; Streptophyta; Magnoliopsida; Malpighiales; Salicaceae. The record is from Rfam.
UAAUCUGUCUGGAGCAUAUCCUUAUCUAGUUAUAACAGACUCACUUCUGAUUGCCCAAAAUUACUUGUUAUCGUAAGCCCAACUAUGUCACUAAUAUCAAGAAAAAACAAAAAAUACAUACUAAUGUCUUAUUCCUCCAAUAAGACA